UUUUUUUUUUUUUUUUUUUUUUUUUUUUGAUUCUGAUGCAAUUUGUGCAA
This 50-nucleotide non-coding RNA is filed under the name Prorocentrum micans. Lineage: Eukaryota; Dinophyceae; Prorocentrales; Prorocentraceae. The record is from RNAcentral.